RNAcentral lists this unclassified non-coding RNA (246 nucleotides) under fungal sp. Its description in RNAcentral is "partial internal transcribed spacer region". The stretch from base 1 to 45 matches the Rfam family "Eukaryotic small subunit ribosomal RNA", at positions 1787 to 1831 of the family's 1831-position model. Lineage: Eukaryota; Fungi. The record is from RNAcentral.
AGUCGUAACAAGGUUUCCGUAGGUGAACCUGCGGAAGGAUCAUUAACACGUUUAGGACAUGAACGUAAGGGAGAGAGACCCUCGCUUGAGGCCAGCACAAGUUUCGGCGAUCGUUUACCCUUGCUAAUGACAGUCUUUUAACAUAGCAGCUCGUGAGAGCUAAGGGUGCCAAAACCGGAAUUCAGUUGAGAUGACCAGACGAACUCCAACCCCGAACAACUGUUAACAAUGGAUAUCUUGGCUCUC